AUCCAGCUGACGAGUCCCACAUAGGACGAAACGCGCGUUCUGAAU
Molecule: non-coding RNA, 45 nt
Organism: Schistosoma margrebowiei
Lineage: Eukaryota; Metazoa; Platyhelminthes; Trematoda; Strigeidida; Schistosomatidae
Source: Rfam